This 828-nucleotide ribosomal RNA is filed under the name Hymenochaete sp. JAM-2020a. RNAcentral's name for it is "partial large subunit ribosomal RNA". It matches the Rfam family "Eukaryotic large subunit ribosomal RNA", at positions 108 to 917 of the family's 3401-position model. The record is from RNAcentral. Lineage: Eukaryota; Fungi; Basidiomycota; Agaricomycetes; Hymenochaetales; Hymenochaetaceae.
CUCAAAUUUAAAAUCUGGCGGUUUUGCCGUCCGAGUUGUAAUCUGGAGAAGCGUUUUCCGCGUCAGACCGUGUACAAGUCUCUUGGAAUGGAGCGUCAUAGAGGGUGAGAAUCCCGUCCAUGACACGGACUCCUGAUGCUCUGUGAUACGCUCUCAAAGAGUCGAGUUGUUUGGGAAUGCAGCUCAAAAUGGGUGGUAAAUUCCAUCUAAAGCUAAAUAUUGGCGAGAGACCGAUAGCGAACAAGUACCGUGAGGGAAAGAUGAAAAGCACUUUGGAAAGAGAGUUAAACAGUACGUGAAAUUGUUGAAAGGGAAACGCUUGAAGUCAGUCGCGUCGUACGGAGCUCAGCCUUGCUUCUGCUUGGUGUAUUCUCCGUGUCGACGGGUCAACAUCAAUUUUGGCCGGUGGAAAAGGGCCUAGGGAAUGUGGCGUUGUUUCGGCGACGUGUUAUAGCCCUAGGUCGUAUGCAUCGGCUGGGAUUGAGGACCGCAGCACGCCCUUGUGGCCGGGGGUUCGCCCCACGUUUCGUGCUUAGGAUGUUGGCAAAAUGGCUUUAAGCGACCCGUCUUGAAACACGGACCAAGGAGUCUAACAUGCCUGCGAGUGUUCGGGUGGAAAACCCUUGCGCGUAAUGAAAGUGAAAGUUGGGAUCCCUCGAAAGGGGGUGCACCGUCGCCCGGCCCUGACGUUCUCUGACGGUGCUGCGGUAGAGCAUGUAUGUUGGGACCCGAAAGAUGGUGAACUAUGCCUGAAUAGGGUGAAGCCAGAGGAAACUCUGGUGGAGGCUCGUAGCGAUUCUGACGUGCAAAUCGAUCGUCAAAUUGGUA